This 916-nucleotide ribosomal RNA is filed under the name uncultured bacterium. RNAcentral's name for it is "bacterial SSU rRNA". It matches the Rfam family "Bacterial small subunit ribosomal RNA", at positions 246 to 1155 of the family's 1533-position model. The record is from RNAcentral.
UUGUUGGUAAGGUAAAAGCUUACCAAGGCUUCGAUCAGUAGCUGGUCUGAGAGGACGGCCAGCCACACUGGGACUGAGACACGGCCCAGACUCCUACGGGAGGCAGCAGUGGGGAAUUUUGGACAAUGGGGGCAACCCUGAUCCAGCCAUGCCGCGUGAGUGAAGAAGGCCUUCGGGUUGUAAGGCUCUUUCAGCCGGAACGAAACGGUUACGGUUAAUACCCGUGACUACUGACGGUACCGGAAGAAGAAGCACCGGCUAACCACGUGCCAGCAGCCGCGGUAAUACGUAGGGUGCGAGCGUUAAUCGGAAUUACUGGGCGUAAAGCGUGCGCAGGUGGUUUUGUAAGUCAGAUGUGAAAGCCCCGGGCUCAACCUGGGAACUGCGUUUGAAACUACAAGACUAGAGUGUGGCAGAGGGGGGUGGAAUUCCGCGUGUAGCAGUGAAAUGCGUAGAGAUGUGGAGGAACACCGAUGGCGAAGGCAGCCCCCUGGGUCAACACUGACGCUCAGGCACGAAAGCAUGGGGAGCAAACAGGAUUAGAUACCCUGGUAGUCCAUGCCCUAAACGAUGUCAACUAGUUGUCGGGCCUUUACGGGCUUGGUAACGUAGCUAACGCGUGAAGUUGACCGCCUGGGGAGUACGAUCGCAAGAUUAAAACUCAAAUGAAUUGACGGGGACCCGCACAAGCGGUGGAUUAUGUGGAUUAAUUCGAUGCAACGCGAAAAACCUUACCUACCCUUGACAUGUAUCGAAGCCCGCAGAAAAGCGGGGGUGCCCGAAAGGGAACGAUAACACAGGUGCUGCAUGGCUGUCGUCAGCUCGUGUCGUGAGAUGUUGGGUUAAGUCCCGCAACGAGCGCAACCCUUGUCAUUAAUUGCCAUCAUUUAGUUGGGCACUUUAAUGAGACUGCCGG